This 402-nucleotide ribosomal RNA is filed under the name uncultured bacterium. RNAcentral's name for it is "bacterial SSU rRNA". It matches the Rfam family "Bacterial small subunit ribosomal RNA", at positions 355 to 774 of the family's 1533-position model. The record is from RNAcentral.
UGGGGAAUCUUGCACAAUGGGGGCAACCCUGAUGCAGCGACGCCGCGUGAGCGAUGAAGCCCUUCGGGGCGUAAAGCUCUUUCGACCGGAACGAUAAUGACGGUACCGGGAGAAGAAGCUGCGGCUAACUACGUGCCAGCAGCCGCGGUAAUACAUAGGCAGCAAGCGUUGUUCGGAGUUACUGGGCGUAGAGAGUGCGUAGGCGGUUUUCUAAGUUCGGUGUGAAAUCUCCCGGCUUAACUGGGAGGGUGCGCCGAAGACUGGGAAGCUGGAGUGUGGGAAAGGCAGGCGGAAUUCCUGGUGUAGCGGUGAAAUGCGUAGAUAUCAGGAGGAACACCGGCGGUGUAGACGGCUUGCUAGACCAUAACUGACGCUGAGGCACGAAAGCGUGGGUAGCAAACA